This 776-nucleotide ribosomal RNA is filed under the name uncultured Neocallimastigales. RNAcentral's name for it is "partial large subunit ribosomal RNA". The stretch from base 5 to 695 matches the Rfam family "Eukaryotic large subunit ribosomal RNA", at positions 24 to 664 of the family's 3401-position model. The record is from RNAcentral. Lineage: Eukaryota; Fungi; Neocallimastigomycota; Neocallimastigomycetes; Neocallimastigales.
GAGACUCUGUGCGCGUGCAUAUCAAUAAGCGGAGGAAAAGAAACUAACAAGGAUUCCCUUAGUAACGGCGAGUGAAGCGGGAAGAGCUCAAAUUUGAAAUCUUCAAGGUUUUACCUUGACGAAUUGUAGUUUAAAGAAGUGUUUUCUGUUGAAGUUUUGGUAAAAGUUCUUUGGAAUAGGACAUCAUAGAGGGUGAGAAUCCCGUAUUUGACCGUUACUUUCCAGCUGUGUGAUACACUUUCAAAGAGUCGGAUUGUUUGGGAAUGCAGUCCAAGAUGGGUGGUAAAUUUCAUCUAAAGCUAAAUAUUGGCGAGAGACCGAUAGCGAACAAGUACCGUGAGGGAAAGAUGAAAAGAACUUUGAAAAGAGAGUUAAACAGUACGUGAAAUUGUCAAAAGGGAAGCGUUUGACACCAGUGUUGUUUAGUUGAAAAUCAAUUCAAUAGUUUUUGAUUCUAAGUAGUAUUGACUUCAUCAGCUUGCUGCUUUCUUCUCAGAAAUUAUUGAAUGCACUUUUCAGUUAACAAGUCAACAUCAAUUUCUUUUGUUGUAAAAGGGUAAGAGGAAGGUGGCUUGCGCUUCGGCUCAAGUGUUUAUAGCCUUUUAUCUCUGCAAUCGGAGAGAUUGAGGUCUGCAGCGUAGAUCCUUCGGGGUUAGAUACAUUGGUGCUAAGCUAUAGUUCUUGUAUAGACAACUUGUUGACUAUGAUCAGUCCUGUAGCUUACUCGCUGAUGCUAUUUUACCUACGCUUAGGAUGUUGACAGCAGUAUAGACUGU